Molecule: long non-coding RNA, 926 nt
Organism: Sitodiplosis mosellana (orange wheat blossom midge)
Lineage: Eukaryota; Metazoa; Arthropoda; Insecta; Diptera; Cecidomyiidae
Exons: 3
Source: RefSeq, a predicted model, not a curated record
AUGGCUGGUUUUACGGAUGGCGUAAAGCAGGCUGUUUCAAUUGUCCGCUGGAUCUGGAAGGGAACUACCCGAAGUGUGAAUGCCCAGACGAUGAAGUUUUUGAUGGCGAAGAAUGCCGAAGAUGUCCCUGGAAUGGAUUUGGGGUAUAUCCCAAUUGUACAUGUGAAACGGGCACUUUUAAUGAGAUAAAUGAGUGUCGUGCAUGUCCUUUUGAUAGCACGGGAAUUUACCCGAAUUGCGUCUGCGAUCAUCCCUUAACCUUUCGGAAAGAUUGGAAUCGGUGUAUGCGAUGCCCUGGAGAUUCGAUCGGAAUUUACCCAAAUUGCACUUGUAUCGGCGAAAAGGCUGGCUUUGAACCAAAAUACGCCAGAUGCUAUGAAUGUCCCGAUGAAUCCACCGGACGACACCCAAAUUGCACGUGUGAAAAAGAAGGAUACGCCUAUGAAACCUACUUGAGAUAUUGCGGUAAACUCUGUGAAGACGGAGUCUCUAUUUAUCCGAAUUGUAAAUGUGAGACGUUUUACAAACAUUUUUUGAAUAAAACUACGCUCAAAUGUAUGCCGUUCGCUUACGAUGACCGACCAUGUCCACCAAAUGCUUUUGGGACGAGUCCGAAUUGUCAUUGUUUGCAAGAUUAUCACUUCUUUAUUCCAUACGGCUGGGGAUGUUUCAAAGAGUAUUCCAUGGAAAAGGCUACGAUUUCAUGCAAAGAUCCCAAAUGCAGUCAAUUUAUAACCACAAAUGGAGUGGAACAAAACGCUUUUCUUCAAAUAUUUUGGUGAAAUAUUAGAUGAUCGUCGAUCAACGACCCAAAAUCACGAUUUUGGGACAAAAAUAUGACAAUUUAAAUUCAAAUGCAUCAGCUACUGAUUAUUGAAUUCUUCAAUUUAUUUUAAGCUUAAUCGAGUUAUUUUGAAUUUAAAAUA